Long non-coding RNA from Zophobas morio, 915 nucleotides. RefSeq lists it as uncharacterized. NCBI's taxonomy places the organism in Eukaryota, Metazoa, Arthropoda, Insecta, Coleoptera, Tenebrionidae. The record is from RefSeq and is a predicted model, not a curated record. The transcript is spliced from 2 exons.
GAAAUUUGUUGUAAUGUUGGCAACAGACAAAAAUUAUUCGUUAAAAAAGGCAGGCAAUUUGUUUUUAAAAUAGCAACUGCUGUCCAGCAGUAAAGAAAAUUUGGAUUGACAAAUGCCAUUAUUGAAGUUUGAGGUUAUGUGGUUUACGUUAGCGUGGCGGUUCAUAUUAAAUUCAUGGACCAUACUUUUAUGAUUAUCAGAAAAUGUGGAGCGUUUUUUAUUAAAGUGUAGGUAAGAAAUAACUGUAUGUUGUACUUCAUCUACAUAAUAACGGUUAAUUAAUCAAGUUAUAACGUUGAGGACAAAUGUAGAUCAAACUUCUAGGUUAAUCAUUAUUAGAUGGUUGGGUAAGAAAAGAUAAUAAAGCUUUUAUAUUAUUUAAUAUGAAUUUAGCCGAACCAGAAGUCAACAAGGAUGUCAUUGCUAAUUUAAGAUGUUUUAAGCAUGACCAUCAUUGUAAAGUUUGUCGAACGAACAAACUUUACAAUGAUGGACAUUUCUUGGAAGAUUGACUCAUACUUUACAAGAUGGCGAAUGAAAACUUCACAACAGAAAACCUGAACAUUGAGAAGAUUCGCUAACUGAGGAACACACUCUUGAACACAUUCUCCAGUCAACUUUAGUUUUGAACAACUCUUUUUGCAUUCAUACCAUUGAGAAUGGACACAAAAAGUAUGGUGUGAAUGCAAAAAGUGUCAAUUCAAAACUAAAUAGUUCAUCAUUAGAUAAACAGAGACUCAUUGAUAAGCAAGAUUUUUAAUAAUAGGAACUGUAUUUUUGUUUAAGCUGGUUAUAGUCUACAAGUGCUAAUGUUAGAUCAGAGUUAUUAGUUUAAGUUAUAAGAAUUGUACAAGUGUUUCCCAGUUUUUGUAGUUCCCAAUGUGUUAGUAACAAAUUAAAUAUAUUUUCAUUUGA